UGCGUAGGCAGCGAGCGUUGUUCGGAGUUACUGGGCGUAAAGCGUGCGUAGGCGGUCUUGUAAGUUUGGUGUGAAAUCUCCCGGCUCAACUGGGAGGGUGCGCCGAAAACUGCAAGGCUGGAGUAUGGGAGAGGUAGGCGGAAUUCCUGGUGUAGCGGUGAAAUGCGUAGAUAUCAGGAGGAACACCUGUGGUGUAGACGGCUUACUGGACCAUGACUGACGCUGAGGCACGAAAGCGUGGGGAGCAAACAGG
This 253-nucleotide ribosomal RNA is filed under the name uncultured bacterium. RNAcentral's name for it is "partial 16S ribosomal RNA". It matches the Rfam family "Bacterial small subunit ribosomal RNA", at positions 524 to 776 of the family's 1533-position model. The record is from RNAcentral.